GAUGAACGCUAGCGGCAGGCCUAAUACAUGCAAGCCCAGCGCUGUUUGGCGUAGCAAUACAUCAAACAACCGGCGGACGGGUGCGUAACGCGUAUGCAACCUACCCUAUACAGGAGGAUAGCCCUCGGAAACGAGGAUUAAUACUCCAUAAGAUUGCUUAGAGGCAUCUUUAAGCAAUUAAAGCCGCAAGGCGGUAUAGGAUGGGCGUGCGUCCGAUUAGCUAGUUGGUGAGGUAACGGCUCACCAAGGCGAUGAUCGGUAGGGGUUCUGAGAGGAAGCUCCCCCACAGGGGCACUGGGACACUGGGGCGAGUCAUACGGGAGGCAGCAGUAAGGAAUGUAGGAGAGUGGGUGAAUGCCUGAUGCAGCCAAGCCGCAUGCAGGAAGAAGGCGCUAGGGGUUGUAACCUGCGUUUGGGAGGGCGAAAUCAGGGCGAAGCGUCGCUCGAUGAUAGUACUUGGCGAAUAAGCAUCGGCUAACUACGUG
RNAcentral lists this ribosomal RNA (485 nucleotides) under uncultured bacterium. RNAcentral describes it as "partial 16S ribosomal RNA". It matches the Rfam family "Bacterial small subunit ribosomal RNA", at positions 28 to 507 of the family's 1533-position model. The record is from RNAcentral.